AGGAUGAACGCUGGCGGCAUGUAUAAGGCAUGCAAGUCGAGGGAUCGGAACAGUGCUUGCACUGUUUACGGACCGGCAGACGGGUGAGUAACACAUUGGUAACCUACCUCUAAGACGAGCAUAGCCCACCGAAAGGUGGAUUAAUACUCGAUAGUCAUAGCAGAUACUUUCUUGCUAUGUAAACCUCCGGGGCUUAGAGAGGGGCCUAUGUCUGAUUAGCUUGUUGGUGGGGUAAAAGCCCACCAAGGCGAUGAACAGUAGCAGGCGUGAGAGCGUGACCUGCCUCACUGGGACUGAGACACUGCCCAGACUCCUACGGGAGGCUGCAGUCAAGAAUCUUCCACAAUGGCCGCAAGGCUGAUGGAGCAAUGCCGCGUGCAGGAAGACGCCUUUCGGGGUGUAAACUGCUUUUAUAUGGGAAGAAUUUGUGACGGUACCAUAUGAAUAAGAGGUUGCUAACUCUGUGCCAGCAGCAGCGGUAAUACAGAGACCUCAAGCGUUAUCCGGAUUCAUUGGGCGUAAAGCGUCCGCAGGUUGUUAUAUAAGUCGAUUGUCAAAUCCUGAGGCUCAACUUCAGGACUGCGGUCGAUACUGUAUAACUAGAGGCUGGAAGAGGCAAGCGGAAUUCUCGGUGUAGUCGUAAUAAGCGCUGAUAUCGAGAGGAACACCAAAGGCGAAGGCAGCUUGCUGGUACAUGCCUGACACUCAUGGACGAAAGCGUGGGUAGCGAAUCGGAUUAGAUACCCGAGUAGUCCACGCCCUAAACGAUGUGCACUAGGUAUUGGGAGUAUCGACCCUCUCAGUGCCGUUUAAAAUAGCUAACGCGUUAAGUGCACCGCCUGGGGAGUACGAUCGCAAGAUUAAAACUCAAAGGAAUAGACGGGGACCCGCACAAGCGGAGGAUCAUGCGGUUUAAUUCGAUGAUACGCGGCGAACCUUACCUGGACUUGACAUAUAGCUGUAAGCCACUGGAAACAGAGGCCCCCUUCGAGGAUUGCUAUACAGGUGCUGCAUGGUUGCCGUCAGCUCGUGCCGUGAGGUGUACCCUUAAGUGGGAUAACGAGCGCAACCCCUAUCGUAUGUUACAUGUACAUGCGAGACCGCCGGCGCAAGCCGGAGGAAGGUGGGGACGACGUCAAAUCAGCAUGGCUCUUACGUCCAGGGCGACACGCAUGAUACAAUGGCCAGUACAAUGGGUAGCCACCUCGCGAGAGGGAGCAAAUCUCACAAAGCUGGUCUCAGUUCGGAUUGCAGGCUGCAACUCGCCUGCAUGAAGUUGGAUUCGCCAGUAAACGCGCAUCAGCCACGGCGCGUGAAUACGUUCUCGGGUCUUGUACUCACCGCCCGUCACACCACGAAAGUUGGUAAUACCCGAAGGCUCCCAGUAGGGGGACGAAGG
RNAcentral lists this ribosomal RNA (1399 nucleotides) under uncultured organism. RNAcentral describes it as "bacterial SSU rRNA". It matches the Rfam family "Bacterial small subunit ribosomal RNA". The record is from RNAcentral.